UGCUGCAGAGAAGAUCCAGAAGACAGAAGCACAGGGUGUACAGGGCAGUGCUGUGCUGCCGUGGCACCCAGCUCACAGCUCGGAGAGGACUUGGCUGGAGGCAGCUCCGUCCAUCCAGAUGACAAGGAAGGCAUCAGGUCACGCCUGUGCAGUACCUGCUUCAGACAAAUCCAGGCCAUUGCCCUCUUGGAAAUCCCACUGGACCUACAGAAACUGUGGCAGGACCCAAAGUGACCAGGUGGCCCAGCCCCGAUGGGCUGUGCCAGGGUUUCCUGAUGUUCCUGCUCCGUUCUGAUGAAACAUUAUACAGAAAGAUAUAGGCAAAGCAUUAUGCUCACAGCCUUUGCCAACAAGUUAUGUUUUAAUGUAAUUUAACUGUAAUCUCAGAGUGUUUUUGUUAGCUAUAAUUAGUAAAAUAUGUCUGUUUUCUGUGUUCCUUGAAGAUGUCUGAACUCCUGCCAGUUCCCUAUAGUUUUCCUGACAUGCAGUGUAACAAGCAGACCACCAAAAUGUAUUUACCAAUAACUGUUUAUUUACAUUCCAUGAAAUCUAAUAACAUUUGCUGUCUUCAUUCGGGAUAAAUGCUCGCCAAAGUGUAAAGCAUAAAAAAAUAAACACUGCCUUACUUUCUAA
Molecule: long non-coding RNA, 633 nt
Organism: Neopelma chrysocephalum (saffron-crested tyrant-manakin)
Lineage: Eukaryota; Metazoa; Chordata; Aves; Passeriformes; Pipridae
Exons: 2
Source: RefSeq, a predicted model, not a curated record